AACGAACGCUGGCGGCAUGCCUAACACAUGCAAGUCGAACGAGGUCUUCGGGUCUAGUGGCGCACGGGUGCGUAACGCGUGGGAAUCUGCCCUUUGGUUCGGAAUAACAGUUGGAAACGACUGCUAAUACCGGAUGAUGACGAAAGUCCAAAGAUUUAUCGCCAGAGGAUGAGCCCGCGUAGUAUUAGCUAGUUGGUGUGGUAAAGGCGCACCAAGGCGACGAUCCUUAGCUGGUCUGAGAGGAUGAUCAGCCACACUGGGACUGAGAGACGGGCCAGACUCCUACGGGAGGCGGCAGUGGGGAAUAUUGGACAAUGGGCGAAAGCCUGAUCCAGCAAUGCCGCGUGAGUGAUGAAGGACUUAGGGUUGUAAAGCUCUUUUACCCGGGAUGAUAAUGACAGUACCGGGAGAAUAAGCUCCGGCUAACUCCGUGCCAGCCGCCGCGGUAA
This 449-nucleotide ribosomal RNA is filed under the name uncultured bacterium. RNAcentral describes it as "partial 16S ribosomal RNA". It matches the Rfam family "Bacterial small subunit ribosomal RNA", at positions 29 to 523 of the family's 1533-position model. The record is from RNAcentral.